This 311-nucleotide ribosomal RNA is filed under the name uncultured eukaryote. Its description in RNAcentral is "partial 18S ribosomal RNA". It matches the Rfam family "Eukaryotic small subunit ribosomal RNA", at positions 1470 to 1796 of the family's 1831-position model. The record is from RNAcentral.
CCCCUAGAUGUUCUGGGCUGCACGCGCGCUACAAUAAUACGCACAGCGAGUAUCACCGAGCUCGAAAGGGCAAGGUAAACAAUAGAAAAGGUACUGUAAUGGUUAUAGAUCCUUGUAAUUAUUGAUCUUCAACGAGGAAUUCCUAGUAAGUAUGUGUCAUCAUCACGCACUGAUUACGUCCCUGCCCUUUGUACACACCGCCCGUCGCUCCUACCGAUUGGGUGAGCCGAUGAAACUCUCGGAUGUAGGCUAUUCAUAGCCCGCAGAAGAGAUUUGAAUCGUAGCGCUUAGAGGAAGGAGAAGUCGUAACA